AUGGUGCAAGCGUUAUCCGGAUUUACUGGGUGUAAAGGGAGCGUAGACGGAUGGGCAAGUCUGAUGUGAAAACCCAGGGCUCAACCCCGGGACUGCAUUGGAAACUGUUCAUCUAGAGUGCUGGAGAGGUAAGUGGAAUUCCUAGUGUAGCGGUGAAAUGCGUAGAUAUUAGGAGGAACACCAGUGGCGAAGGCGGCUUACUGGACAGUAACUGACGUUGAGGCUCGAAAGCGUGGGGAGCAAA
This 244-nucleotide ribosomal RNA is filed under the name uncultured bacterium. RNAcentral describes it as "partial 16S ribosomal RNA". It matches the Rfam family "Bacterial small subunit ribosomal RNA", at positions 529 to 772 of the family's 1533-position model. The record is from RNAcentral.